This 498-nucleotide ribosomal RNA is filed under the name Pseudocercospora lythri. Its description in RNAcentral is "eukaryotic LSU rRNA". The stretch from base 159 to 312 matches the Rfam family "5.8S ribosomal RNA". Lineage: Eukaryota; Fungi; Ascomycota; Dothideomycetes; Mycosphaerellales; Mycosphaerellaceae. The record is from RNAcentral.
AGGGAUCAUUACUGAGUGAGGGCUCACGCCCGACCUCCAACCCUUUGUGAACACAUCUUGUUGCUUCGGGGGCGACCCUGCCGGCACUACGUCGCCGGGCGCCCCCGAAGGUCUCCAAACACUGCAUCUUUGCGUCGGAGUUUAAACAAAUUAAACAAAACUUUCAACAACGGAUCUCUUGGUUCUGGCAUCGAUGAAGAACGCAGCGAAAUGCGAUAAGUAAUGUGAAUUGCAGAAUUCAGUGAAUCAUCGAAUCUUUGAACGCACAUUGCGCCCUUUGGUAUUCCGAAGGGCAUGCCUGUUCGAGCGUCAUUUCACCACUCAAGCCUGGCUUGGUAUUGGGCGUCGCGGCUCCGCGCGCCUUAAAGUCUCCGGCUGAGCCAUUCGUCUCUAAGCGUUGUGGAUUUUCUAAUUCGCUUCGGAGUGCGGGUGGCCGCGGCCGUUAAAUCUUUACUCAAGGUUGACCUCGGAUCAGGUAGGGAUACCCGCUGAACUUAA